GACGAACGCUGGCGGCGUGCUUAACACAUGCAAGUCGAACGGAAAGGCCCUGCUUUUGUGGGGUGCUCGAGUGGCGAACGGGUGAGUAAAACGUGAGUAACCUGCCCUUGACUUUGGGAUAACUUCAGGAAACUGGGGCUAAUAUCGGAUAGGAGCUCCUGCUGCAUGGUGGGGGUUGGAAAGUUUCGGCGGUUGGGGAUGGAAUCGCGGCUUAUCAGCUUGUUGGUGGGGUAGUGGCUUACCAAGGCUUUGACGGGUAGCCGGCCUGAGAGGGUGACCGGCCACAUUGGGACUGAGAUACGGCCCAGACGCCUACGGGAGGCAGCAGUGGGGAAUAUUGCACAAUGGGCGGAAGCCUGAUGCAGCAACGCCGCGUGCGGGAUGACGGCCUUCGGGUUGUAAACCGCUUUCGCCUGUGACGAAGCGUGAGUGACGGUAAUGGGUAAAGAAGCACCGGCUAACUACGUG
Molecule: ribosomal RNA, 468 nt
Filed under: uncultured bacterium
Lineage: Bacteria
Description: partial 16S ribosomal RNA
Rfam family: Bacterial small subunit ribosomal RNA
Source: RNAcentral